GAGAUUUUUCUAAAGACCCAACAGACACUUUGUUGCUGCUCUAUGAAUUUGAAGCAAGAUCCAAGCUUAAUGAUCCAACACUCAAUAACUUCAUUGAAUCACUAUGGGAGCAACCACACGUAGAGAUCAAGACGCUAGAAAUCAUUGCAUCAACUGCUUACAUAGUUUGAUUAAUGUUUCUUUGCCAACCGGAGUGACAGACUUGGAUGCCUGUGUGCUGCAGGAGGUGUGGGGCUACUUUGAAGAUGCUCUGAGUGUAGUCAACAGCACAAUGAUUGGUCUUUACAGUGAGGUUCUGGACAAAUUGGACAGAGUAAAAGAGUGUCUUCCAAAUGAAGAAUGAUAGCCACAACUGCAGAAAAGGAGGACAGCAGUUGGAAACAUCCUGCUGAAGGAAAGAGGCUGUUAGCUCUGCAGGGGCACAGGAGCAGUGGAAAGGAAACCAGAAUCUCCCUCUUGUUGGCUAUUAAGUUAUGUGUUCAUUGAAUUCAUGUUAUUGUUUCCCUCUAGGAGAGUUUCAUUCUGUGGAGCUAUGUAGCAGAAAUAAAUAUGUAAGUUUCUCUUGAGAUGGUUCUGCU
Molecule: long non-coding RNA, 578 nt
Filed under: Chrysolophus pictus (golden pheasant)
Lineage: Eukaryota; Metazoa; Chordata; Aves; Galliformes; Phasianidae
Description: lncRNA (ENSCPIG00010013428.1)
Source: RNAcentral